GAUGAACGCUAGCGGCAGGCCUAACCCUUGCAAGUCGAGGGGUAACAGGAAGCUUGCUCCGCUGACAACCGGCGCACGGGUGCGCACCGCGUAUGGAACCUGCCCCUUGCAGGGAAAUAGCCCAGGGAAACUUGAAUUAAUGCCCCGUAGUACCAUUUUACAGCAUUGUAUUGUGGUUAAAGGCUUCGGCCGGCAAGGGAUGGCCAUGCGUCCCAUUAGCUAGUUGGCGGGGUAACGGCCCACCAAGGCUACAAUGGGUAGGGGCCCUGAAAGGGGGAUCCCCCACACUGGUACUGAAACACGGACCAAACUCCUACGGGAGGCAGCAGUGAGGAAUAUUGAACAAUGGGCAAGAGCCUGAUCCAGCCAUGCCGCGUGCAGGAAAAAUGCCCUAUGGGUAGUAAACUGCUUUUAUACGGAAAAAAAAAGGGGCACGUGUGCCCCACUGACGGUACCGUAAAAAUAAGGACCGGCUAACUCCGUG
Molecule: ribosomal RNA, 484 nt
Filed under: uncultured bacterium
Lineage: Bacteria
Description: bacterial SSU rRNA
Rfam family: Bacterial small subunit ribosomal RNA
Source: RNAcentral